RNAcentral lists this ribosomal RNA (430 nucleotides) under uncultured bacterium. RNAcentral's name for it is "bacterial SSU rRNA". It matches the Rfam family "Bacterial small subunit ribosomal RNA", at positions 29 to 463 of the family's 1533-position model. The record is from RNAcentral.
AACAAACGCUGGCGGCGUGCCUAAUACAUGCAAGUCGAACGGGGAAAGUAGCAAUACGAGUACUAGUGGCGCACGGGUGAGGAAUACAUGGGUAAUCUGCCCUCGAGCUCGGGAUAACCAGUCGAAAGACUGGCUAAUACCGGAUAUGACCACAAGAUCUGAGGAUCAAGGGGUAAAAGGUUUUUCGCUUGAGGAUGAGCCCAUGUGGGAUUAGCUAGUUGGUGUAGGUAACGGCUCACCAAGGCGACGAUCCCUAACUGGUCUUAGAGGAUGAUCAGUCACACUGGAACUGAGACACGGUCCAGACUCCUACGGGAGGCAGCAGUAGGGAAUAUUGCACAAUGGAGGAAACUCUGAUGCAGCGACACCGCGUGAGUGAUGAAGGCCUGGUCGUAAGCUCUGUCGUAUGGGACGUAACAAAAUAGAAGGU